GAUGAACGCUAGCGCUAGGCUUAACACACGCAAGUCGAGGGGCAGCACAAGGUAGCUUGCUAUCUGGGUGGCGACCGGCGCACGGGUGCGUAACGCGUAUGCAACUUGCCCUAUACAGGAGGAUAACCCGUCGAAAGACGGACUAAUACUGCGUAUGCUCACAACUUGGCAUCAAGUGGUGAGGAAAGAAAUUCGGUAUAGGAUAGGCAUGCGUCCCAUUAGCUUGUUGGUGAGGUAACGGCUCACCAAGGCAACGAUGGGUAGGGGAACUGAGAGGUUUAUCCCCCACACUGGUACUGAGACACGGACCAGACUCCUACGGGAGGCAGCAGUGAGGAAUAUUGGUCAAUGGGCGCGAGCCUGAACCAGCCAAGUCGCGUGAAGGAGGACUGUCUUAUGGAUUGUAAACUUCUUUUAUACGGGAAUAACAAGAGUCACGUGUGACUCCCUGCAUGUACCGUAUGAAUAAGCAUCGGCUAACUCCGUG
Molecule: ribosomal RNA, 487 nt
Filed under: uncultured bacterium
Lineage: Bacteria
Description: partial 16S ribosomal RNA
Rfam family: Bacterial small subunit ribosomal RNA
Source: RNAcentral